CGCGGCCUAUCAGCUUGUUGGUGAGGUAAUGGCUCACCAAGGCGACGACGGGUAGCCGGCCUGAGAGGGUGACCGGCCACACUGGGACUGAGACACGGCCCAGACUCCUACGGGAGGCAGCAGUGGGGAAUAUUGCACAAUGGGCGAAAGCCUGAUGCAGCGACGCCGCGUGAGGGAUGACGGCCUUCGGGUUGUAAACCUCUUUCAGUAGGGAAGAAGCGAAAGUGACGGUACCUGCAGAAGAAGCACCGGCUAACUACGUGCCAGCAGCCGCGGUAAUACGUAGGGUGCGAGUGUUAUCCGGAAUUAUUGGGCGUAAAGAGCUCGUAGGCGGUUUGUCGCGUCUGUCGUGAAAGUCCGGGGCUUAACCCCGGAUCUGCGGUGGGUACGGGCAGUCUAGAGUGCAGUAGGGGAGACUGGAAUUCCUGGUGUAGCGGUGGAAUGCGCAGAUAUCAGGAGGAACACCGAUGGCGGAGGCAGGUCUCUGGGCUGUAACUGACGCUGAGGAGCGAAAGCAUGGGGAGCGAACAGGAUUAGAUACCCUGGUAGUCCAUGCCGUAAACGUUGGGCACUAGGUGUGGGGACCAUUCCACGGUUUCCGCGCCGCAGCUAACGCAUUAAGUGCCCCGCCUGGGGAGUACGG
This 643-nucleotide ribosomal RNA is filed under the name uncultured bacterium. RNAcentral's name for it is "bacterial SSU rRNA". It matches the Rfam family "Bacterial small subunit ribosomal RNA", at positions 232 to 885 of the family's 1533-position model. The record is from RNAcentral.